This 476-nucleotide ribosomal RNA is filed under the name uncultured bacterium. RNAcentral's name for it is "bacterial SSU rRNA". It matches the Rfam family "Bacterial small subunit ribosomal RNA", at positions 31 to 507 of the family's 1533-position model. The record is from RNAcentral.
GAACGCUGGCGGCGUGCUUAACACAUGCAAGUCGAACGAGAAUCUGCGGAAAGAGGAUUCGUCCAAUUGAAGCAGAGGACAGUGGCGGACGGGUGAGUAACGCGUGAGGAACCUGCCUUUCAGAGGGGGACAACAGUUGGAAACGACUGCUAAUACCGCAUGACACAUUGGGGUCGCAUGGCCCCGAUGUCAAAGAUUUAUCGCUGAAAGAUGGCCUCGCGUCUGAUUAGCUAGUUGGUGAGGUAACGGCCCACCAAGGCGACGAUCAGUAGCCGGACUGAGAGGUUGAACGGCCACAUUGGGACUGAGAUACGGCCCAGACUCCUACGGGAGGCAGCAGUGGGGAAUAUUGGGCAAUGGGCGCAAGCCUGACCCAGCAACGCCGCGUGAAGGAAGAAGGCUUUCGGGUUGUAAACUUCUUUGUCAGGGAUGAGUAGAAGACGGUACCUGACGAAUAAGCCACGGCUAACUACGUG